CAGUCGCCGCGGUAAUACAGAGGGUGCAAGCGUUAAUCGGAAUUACUGGGCGUAAAGCGCGCGUAGGUGGUUCGCCAAGUUGGAUGUGAAAUCCCCGGGCUCAACCUGGGAACUGCAUCCAAAACUGGCGAGCUAGAGUAUGGUAGAGGGUGGUGGAAUUUCCUGUGUAGCGGUGAAAUGCGUAGAUAUAGGAAGGAACACCAGUGGCGAAGGCGACUACCUGGACUGAUACUGACACUGAGGUGCGAAAGCGUGGGGAGCAAACAGGAUUAGAUACCCCCGUAGUCCCUGUCUCUUAUAC
RNAcentral lists this ribosomal RNA (301 nucleotides) under uncultured bacterium. RNAcentral describes it as "partial 16S ribosomal RNA". It matches the Rfam family "Bacterial small subunit ribosomal RNA", at positions 509 to 807 of the family's 1533-position model. The record is from RNAcentral.